This 870-nucleotide ribosomal RNA is filed under the name uncultured bacterium. RNAcentral describes it as "bacterial SSU rRNA". It matches the Rfam family "Bacterial small subunit ribosomal RNA", at positions 28 to 896 of the family's 1533-position model. The record is from RNAcentral.
AUUGAACGCUGGCGGCAGGCCUAACACAUGCAAGUCGAGCGAGAAAGGCCUUCGGGCUGAGUACAGCGGCGGACGGGUGAGUAACGCGUAGGAAUCUACCUGGUAGUGGGGGACAACAUGGGGAAACCCAUGCUAAUACCGCAUACGCCCUAUGGGGGAAAGCGGGGGACCUUCGGGCCUCGCGCUAUCAGAUGAGCCUGCGUAGGGUUAGCUUGUUGGUGAGGUAAAGGCUCACCAAGGCGACGAUCCUUAGCUGGUCUGAGAGGAUGAUCAGCCACACUGGAACCGAGACACGGUCCAGACUCCUACGGGAGGCAGCAGUGGGGAAUAUUGCGCAAUGGUCGAAAGCCUGACGCAGCCAUGCCGCGUGUGUGAAGAAGGCCUUAGGGUUGUAAAGCACUUUCAAUUGGGAAGAAAGGUUGCGUGUUAAUAGCACGUAGCUGUGACGUUACCUUUAGAAGAAGCACCGGCUAACUCCGUGCCAGCAGCCGCGGUAAUACGGAGGGUGCAAGCGUUAAUCGGAAUUACUGGGCGUAAAGCGCGCGUAGGCGGUUUGUUAAGUCGGAUGUGAAAGCCCUGGGCUCAACCUGGGAACUGCAUUCGAUACUGGCCGACUAGAGUACGAGAGAGGGAGGUAGAAUUCCACGUGUAGCGGUGAAAUGCGUAGAUAUGUGGAGGAAUACCGGUGGCGAAGACGGCCUCCUGGCUCGAUACUGACGCUGAGGUGCGAAAGCGUGGGUAGCAAACAGGAUUAGAUACCCUGGUAGUCCACGCCGUAAACGAUGUCUACUAGCCGUUGGGAGACUUGAUUUCUUAGUGGCGCAGCUAACGCACUAAGUAGACCGCCUGGGGAGUACGGCCGNCAGGUUA